This 253-nucleotide ribosomal RNA is filed under the name uncultured bacterium. RNAcentral's name for it is "partial 16S ribosomal RNA". It matches the Rfam family "Bacterial small subunit ribosomal RNA", at positions 524 to 776 of the family's 1533-position model. The record is from RNAcentral.
GACGUAGGGCGCAAGCGUUGUCCGGAUUUAUUGGGCGUAAAGCGCUCGCAGGUGGUUCGUUGCGUCGUGCGUGAAAGACCCCGGCUCAACUGGGGGGUGUCGUGCGAUACGGGCGAACUGGAGGCCAGUAGGGGGAUGCGGAAUUCCGGGUGUAGUGGUGGAAUGCGUAGAGAUCCGGAGGAACACCAGCGGCGAAGGCGGCAUCCUGGACUGGUCCUGACACUCAGGAGCGAAAGCGUGGGGAGCGAUCCGG